UUUUUACACUGUCUCAGUCUGGCAGUAUUGAACCUGUUGCUGCAUUAGCCGAGUUGUAUUUUGCUAGAUAGGGGAAGGAGGGUUGUCUGCUGUCUGGUAGGAGGGCUUUGUCUGUGUGUGCCUUUCUCUCUCUCUCCCUCUCACACUCUCGCUUGCUCUCUCUCUCUCUCUCACUCCCUUUCCCGUCUCUGUGGUUUGUAAGGUAGGUUGCAGUGUGUGUAUAUACACAACAUCAAGAGCAGGAAAAUGGACUCAUUAGGGAGGCAGGCAGUCAUUACCACUCACACUGUACUUCCAGGGAGACAGCGACUAUGAGGAGACAAACUGAGGACUGGGGAACAAGCAGCAUAAAAGAGAAGUGUUAGGAGCUGCUCUUAACCCUUUGGAGUCGGAAGAGAAAAGGGAACUAGAGGGCUUGACUUCUCCUUUACCUCCUGCAUUUACUCUGACCACAGUCCCUCCCUGUUCUCACAAGUGGAGCUCAGCCCUGCUUCCCUUCCUGUUGAUUCCCAGUCAGCUACAUGAC
This 526-nucleotide long non-coding RNA is filed under the name Gopherus agassizii (Agassiz's desert tortoise). RNAcentral's name for it is "lncRNA (ENSGAGG00000020799.1)". The record is from RNAcentral. Lineage: Eukaryota; Metazoa; Chordata; Testudines; Testudinidae.